This 4826-nucleotide long non-coding RNA is filed under the name Coffea arabica (coffee). RNAcentral's name for it is "long non-coding RNA (CARA_LNC006540)". The record is from RNAcentral. Lineage: Eukaryota; Viridiplantae; Streptophyta; Magnoliopsida; Gentianales; Rubiaceae.
UUUUUUUUUUUUUUUUUUUGCGAUAAUCUAGUUCUUUUUUAAGUUCAACAGUAAGAAAAUUUGGACGAUCUACAUAAUUUAUAUAAUCAAUCAAAUUAAUUUUGCAGACCUAGAAACCAAAAAUGACAUCCGUUUGUAGUUCCACAAAUUAAGGCCAACUUGGCAAAAGUGAUUUUUUUAAAUAAUAUUUCGCUUGCAUCAUAAACACAUUUUUCAAUCCAUCUUUUUAUAUUUUCAACCACGUUUUUAUCUCACAUACAUUACAUCACAAAUAAUAUUUUAAAUAAUACGCUAUCCAAACAAAUCUGCCAAUUAGACUAUUCUCUCUUACCUUUUUUUUUUUUGGGUAAAAUUUCUGCAUGGCCUUUUUCUAUCUUUCAUUCCAUAUGGUGCGUUUGAUUUACAUGAUGAAAAAAAAAAAGAUAAUUUUUUUGGUCGCAUUCACGUUCAGAAGAAAAAAAAAAGUUUGGGAGCAAAGUGUAGACAAUUUUACUUGGAAUUUUUAAACUGAAUUAUACUUGGAAGUUUUAGUAGUCUAGUUCAAUUAUCCAAAGCAUUUUGAACUAUAAUCUCUUUAUAAUAAAAAUUGAAGAACCAAAAAGUUGAAUUAAUACAACACUAUCUUUUCAUCCCAAUUAACCUAUAACAAGACUCUUGUUACAAGAGUAAUUAAAUUGCUGAACUUAAUUUGCCUCAAUCAAGACAUAAAUACGUGGAUGCAUUUUUGAAAGGUUAAAUGGAAAAAAUAAAUUGAUUUGAUGCGCAAAUGUCCCCCAAAUUAAUAAAUGAAUUUGGAUGACAUUAUUAUUUUUAAUCUUUCCUUUGGAAAAGUCCAUGGAAUAUACAAAUAUCGUGUGGGCCUUGAGAGAUGAAAUUUUAGAUGAAGAAUAAUUCAAGGCAGCUUAGAAGAGAAAAAGAAAAAUGUGUGUGGCUGAAAUGCAAAGCAGGGUCUGGUCUAUUGUUGGGAGGUACAGAUGAGAAGCUCCUAUUCUAUUACUAUAUAUACAUAUUCUCAGCCAGAAGUUCCUUUGUGUUUGGGUCCAGGAACAGGAAGGAUUCAUUCAGUCACGAAAUCAGUGAGAGAGUGAGAGUGUGUAUUGUGUAAUCAAUUUGCGCUACGGGAUCACGUGCCGUUGUGUUCAAAACGGGGCCAGAUGGGGUCUUGAUGUACUGUUCCAAGUUUACUCUACUUUUCUUCCUACACGCAAGUACAAAUGGACAAUGUUCAAAGUACGCCAUUGUUUGGAUAAAAUGAGAUGGCUUUUUUCAUAUUUUCAAUCCUUUUAUUUGUAAGAAGUUUUUUUCAUCAUAUCAUAAAUAUAUUUUUCAAUCAUAUUUUCAUAUCAUAUUUUUAUAUCACAUACAUCAUAUAACAAAAAAGUAUGGAUUAAUCCUUCCUACACUGAUAGUGUAUACACCAUCAGCAUUGGACGAAUGACAAUUAUGCAAUAUUUGAAUUUGAAAUCUAUCUUUCACACAUGUACCAUAAAUCAAAUGGUGAUAGUGUAUACACUAUCAGUGUAUAUAAGAUUUACUCAAAAAGUAUUAUAGUGUUAUUUCAAUUUUUUUUUGUUGCAAAUAAUCCCCAAGCCAAAAACAUAAAUCUUGCGCCCCAUUUUUUUUUCAAAAAUAAGUUUUAGGCGUUAGAAAAAAUGAGUUUUUGAUUAAUUUUUAUUUGAAAAUUAGUUUUUGAUUUUAGAAAAUAAAUAAAAAGAAAGGGCCUAAUAUGAAAUUUUAAAAGUGUGACGGUUUAGACCCAAAAUAACAGUCUAAAAAAGGUUUUUAGGAAAAAAUAGGAAUCGCCACUUGGUAUUGAAUUUAGGAAUACCAAAUCUCCCAAAAUAUACUUUUAAACAAAUAAAUAGAAAUAAUAAAAUCUCUUUUAAAUGACUCCAGAUCUUUGAAAAUAAGAAUAACGGGUUCGGAAGUCACGAUUGAAGAAAGGGAAGGCAAAAAUUUGAUAGAUUCAAACCUAAGUCACCCUUUCAAUCUAACCAAAAUUUAGUUACGAGAUUUAGUAGAAAUUUUCAUAAUCUAACCUAUAAAAACUUAUCGCAUUUGGAUGUUUCUACAUGAAUGCGAAUCUAGACCUAGGGGGAUAUCGGGAGGGUUGAGGUGUCUCUUCAAAAUUAAAUUGGUGCAAUCACAUUAAUUGCGAUACCCAAGAGUGAUUUUUUGAAGAGGUCACUAGUAAACAAAGAGUGAGAUUCAAAGAAAAGAAAAAUUAUAAUAUUAGAUAAGUAGAUAUGACCUAAGAGAAGGAUACAACAUAACGGGUACAGGAGACUAAAUUUCGUGACUCAAUUUUCCUUUUAUAGGGAGGAUGAGAGCGUGCUAAAACUAAGAAGCCACACUCAUUCAUUUCUCAUAUUUGAAGAGUGAUUUUCCUAACCUAAUCAAACAAAUGGACUAGUCUACUUUUAUUUUCCUAAAUGGAAUGCCAAUCUAAAUGUUAUGUUUCGCGCACAUAGGGAUAAAGGAAAUAAUAUAUAGAGGAAAUAUCAUACAAGAUGAGAAAAAAUCCUAAAAAUGAAAAAAUAUGUAUAAAUGCGAUGAAUGCCACACAAAGAAUGUGAAUCUAGCGCGAAAAUGGGAUAAAGGGUCUAGCAUUAGAUUAACCCAUUUCUACAAGUACUCACUAACGUUGGACUAGUGAAAAAUCGAGAAGAAGGACUACAACUAGCAUUGAACUAGUAUGGUGACGUCAUGCAUUCAUUAUAACUAAAUAGAUUAUAUAAAACAUAAUUAAAUCAAGCAAAUACAUAAAUCACAUAGAGCACGUAAUACGUAAAUAUAAUAUCUAGAUGCAAAGACGCUAAAGAAAACUAAUAAACACAUGAGCACACAAGCAAAGAAAGGCGCACAAAGACCUAACUAUUACAUUUGGGACCCCAACUACAAUCUAAGCGGAGAAAAUUUUAAAAAUAAUAACCUACUUAUUACAUUUAUCUAACUAAUUACAUUUUUAGCAAAUUAAAACCUAUCUAUUGCAUAACCUAACUAAAUACAUGUCUCGAACAUCUAUCUAUUACUAUUUGGCAUUUAAAUGCCUCUCAAAUAAUCAUUAAAAUUAAAUAAAAUAAAUGAAACUUAAAAUGAAUAAAAUGAUUAAAUUAAAUAAAAGAAAAAAGCACUCAAAACAUGCAAUUACACAUAAAAAUACAUAGGAGCACAUAAGAGAAUUUAAAAUAAUGAAAAAAGGUACCUCCCUUGAAGUAGUUGAAUGGGAUGCAUUUUGCCUUGUUUAUACUCCAAAAUCAACAAAAGAAUCAAAACACCAAUUUAAUUAACAAAUAAAUGAUAAAGAAGUCGAGAUAACCAUGAAAUCUAUCAAUUAAAGCAUUUAAAUGGAGUAUAAUUAACAAUUAAAGAAGAUAAACAACUUAUACUUAAGAAAUCAAAGCUGUUAGAGAUCUAAUUGCAAAUAUUUAAGAAAGUUUUUAGGGUUAAAUUAAAUUAUUACAAAAAUUAGGGGUCAAAAUCAAAGAAAAAUAAAGUUUAGGGAUCAAAUUGAAAUUAAAUUAGAAAUUUAAUUGAAAGAAAUCUAAAUUUUUAGGUUAUAAUGAAAUUUAUCAAAAGUAUAGGGGCCAGAUCGCAAUAAACGUAUUCUGGUUUGGUUAGAAAAUGGCCUUGGGCCAUAAUUCAAAAUUUUUUUUUGUUUGGUUGGGCUAAAACCUUCCAAGCCCAACGAAAAUCUAAGGAAAAAAUACGGGCCAACCUAUUCUUUUCACCAAAACAACCCAACCAAAAAGGAUAGGUCUUAAGUUAUCAAACCCAUGUCCAAACCCAGAAAAAUAAAUCAAAACUCACUCCCAAAAACCUAACCAAAAUAACCCUAAUACAAAUCCUAACUUAUUUAUUAAACCCAACAUCACAAUAAAUCUCCUAAAAAUUAUGAAGGCCUAAUUAUGCCCUAAAACCCGGAAAUGAUCUGCCCAAAAACCUACUUAAAACAUGAAAAAGAGGAUUAAAACUUAAAAGGGGCAAAAUGGAUUCAAUUUUCCAGAUUUUGGGCCACAUUGGAAUUAUUUCAAAGUUAAGAGGUUAAAUCAAAAUUUUCAAAAAUUCCAUGCAAUCUUCUUCGUAGCUUUCUGACUUUCUCUGCAACUUUUCUUAUAUUGCUGCUAUGAAGAACCCAACAACGUUUCGGGCCUGAUUUGUGCAGUUUUGGAUAAAAUCGCACAACCCAAACAUCAAACAUCAAGUUUCUUUUUCCAAAUAUAAGAUUAGAUAGCAAAUCAUGCGGCAAAACCCAACUACUGGGUUGCCAUAGGAAGAAAAACAGCAAAAGUAGAAUACUGAACAAAGUGCAGCAAAAUCUUUGGUACAUCUAGGGAAGAUCUGGGCUUGUGUGAGAAGGAGAGAGCAAAAGGGAUUACCUUUGACGUCUUGUGGAGUUAGGCAGGCAUGAUAAAACUCGAAAAUGGAUCCAGAAGUUAAUGGAUGAACCGGUGAUAUUUUCUUCGAAGUUCAAGGGCUGCGAAGGCAGCGAAUUCCAGCCCCGAUUCAACACUCUUAGAGGUGUUUUCUCUAAAAAUUUUGUGAACAAAAGUUGUCCCUUUUCAAGCGUAGAUAGCGCAAAAAUGAAGAAGUCACCUAAAUGACUCAAGUUAAGAUUGGAUUUCGUUCAUGAAGGAGACAGGAUGAUCAACCCUGGUUCAUAAUUUUUCUGCUCUUUUUUCCUUCUUUUUUUUCUCUCUGUUUUCUUUGUUUUCUCCCCUUUUUCUUUGUUUUCCGUCGCCUCCUCUUUGUUUCUUACCUCAAUAGUUUUGAUGGAAUUUUAUACGAGACCAAGCCCCCUAAACUCUCACAGCAAUGGUGUAGAU